UUCAAACAAGCGACACUCUCUCUCGUUUCGACUGCUUCAAAGCACUGUGGUAAAAGGAUUUUUGACUCUCUCUUUCUCGGCGAAUCUCUCCGCGUUCCUCCAUCACCGCCGUUUUACUCCGUCGUGCAAUCUAGAAGGAUUCGGUUAAAAUUGUGGUUGUAUCAUGUAUGAAUGAUGCAUUUCAGAGAUGGAUAUUGACGAGAUAGAUGAAUAUAUCUGAGAUAGGUGAAAGUUAUCUCCAGAGUUUCUGCAAAAAGAGCUGCGACAUCGUUCUUCUUCUAUAAGCAUGGACUUGUAAGCCAUCAGCUCAACUCCUACAACUUCUUUAUUGAACACGGGCUUCAGAGUGUGUUUGAAUCCCUUUGGUGAGAUGCUCGUGGAACCUUCUUUUGAUCCAACAAAGAAGAAAGAAGACGAUUGGAGAGGUUACCCUGGAGAAGCGCACAUUCUUUUCUGAUGACAAGGAGGUUGAGUUUCUCCCUUGGCAUGCCAGGCUUCAGAACAUGACUUUACUCAGCAAGGAUGAAAGUCAAUUUCCAAGUUGAGAAGCGACAAAUUCAAGACGGGACAAGAUGAAUAUGUCGAGAAGAAGGUUCUAGAUGUCAAAAAGCAGGACAUUCUAAUUGGUUGUAGUAUACCUGUCAUGGUGAAAUCUGUCCUUUUCAACACUAGCGAGAAAGGGAAACAAAACUGCAAAAAGGGGGAUUGUCUGACGAAGCUCCUGUUCUUUGCCCUGGGAGUUUCGUCAGACAAAGAAGCAAUUGAUCUAAUUGCUUUUGAUGGCGAUGAUAUAAUCAUUACCAAUAGUCUCUAGCAUAUGUUGAACAGCAGAUGAAAAGCACCAAAUUCCCUCCUGCUGAAAGUGUGGAUGACUGCCUCCGCCUGUAUUUGCAUCCAUCUCACUGGGGCAGAGUAUGCUUUUUGUCAACUCCGGAUGGUGAAAAUUGUGGUCUUGUGAAGAACAUGUCUCUUCUUGGACUUGUUAGCACUUCUUGGAGCCUGUGGUGGAAAAGUUCUUUGAUUGUGGAAUGGAAGAGCUGAUGGAUAAUACUAGCACACCAUUUUGUGGCAAACAUAAAGUUCUUCUCAAUGGAGAUUGGGUAGGAUUAUGUUCAAAUUCUGAAUCCUUUGUCGCAGAGUUAAAAAGCGUGCGGCGCCAAAAAUGAUUUAUUUCGUCAGAUCGAUGGAAAUCAAAUAAAGAUGACAAUGAGGUGAGAAUCUUCACUGACGCUGGUAGACUACUCCGACCUCUCUUGGUUGUGGAAAAUCUCCACAAAUUGAAGCAAGACAAACCAACAUAGUAUCCUUUUGUGCAUCUUCUUGACCAAGGGAUUCUCGAACUGAUCGGGAUUGAGGAAGAAGAAGACUGUAAUUCUCAAGCUAUUUUUUCUCAGUACUGUACUCCCUUUGUUUCCAAUUGUUCUUCAGGGAGCUUGGUACAAACUCAAAUAAUAGCUCAAAGACUCGUUUGCGAAUGGGAGAGAAAUACACUUGUUGGCUUUUUUAGUAAAGUUGUUUUGAUUGUCCAUCUUUGAUAUGAAAUAUUAAGUUCUGCUA
This is a long non-coding RNA of Camelina sativa (false flax), 1557 nucleotides long. RefSeq lists it as uncharacterized. Lineage: Eukaryota; Viridiplantae; Streptophyta; Magnoliopsida; Brassicales; Brassicaceae. The record is from RefSeq and is a predicted model, not a curated record.